GCUAAAGGAACGAAGGAUAAAUGCGUCACGUCCUGUGACAACGCCUUCGUGACCAACAUAUGUUGG
This 66-nucleotide small RNA is filed under the name Lysinibacillus sp. AC-3. Its description in RNAcentral is "Bacillaceae-1 RNA". It matches the Rfam family "Bacillaceae-1 RNA". Lineage: Bacteria; Bacillati; Bacillota; Bacilli; Caryophanales; Bacillaceae. The record is from RNAcentral.